RNAcentral lists this ribosomal RNA (465 nucleotides) under Vreelandella stevensii. Its description in RNAcentral is "partial 16S ribosomal RNA". It matches the Rfam family "Bacterial small subunit ribosomal RNA", at positions 338 to 795 of the family's 1533-position model. The record is from RNAcentral. Lineage: Bacteria; Pseudomonadati; Pseudomonadota; Gammaproteobacteria; Oceanospirillales; Halomonadaceae.
CCUACGGUGGGCAGCAGUGGGGAAUAUUGGACAAUGGGCGAAAGCCUGAUCCAGCCAUGCCGCGUGUGUGAAGAAGGCCUUCGGGUUGUAAAGCACUUUCAGUGGGGAAGAAAGCCUUGGGGCUAAUACCCUCGAGGAAGGACAUCACCCACAGAAGAAGCACCGGCUAACUCCGUGCCAGCAGCCGCGGUAAUACGGAGGGUGCGAGCGUUAAUCGGAAUUACUGGGCGUAAAGCGCGCGUAGGCGGUCUGAUAAGCCGGUUGUGAAAGCCCCGGGCUCAACCUGGGAACGGCAUCCGGAACUGUCAGGCUAGAGUGCAGGAGAGGAAGGUAGAAUUCCCGGUGUAGCGGUGAAAUGCGUAGAGAUCUGGAGGAAUACCAGUGGCGAAGGCGGCCUUCUGGACUGACACUGACGCUGAGGUGCGAAAGCGUGGGUAGCAAACAGGAUUAGAUACCCCGGUAGUC